This is a long non-coding RNA of Anopheles moucheti, 425 nucleotides long. RefSeq lists it as uncharacterized. The transcript is spliced from 3 exons. The record is from RefSeq and is a predicted model, not a curated record. NCBI's taxonomy places the organism in Eukaryota, Metazoa, Arthropoda, Insecta, Diptera, Culicidae.
CGUUUGCACCGUUGCCCUUCUAACCUGACCGUCUUUAGCACGGGUCACUUCUAGAACGCGUCCCAUUGGCCAGGUAUUCCUCGGUAAAUUCCCGUCCGCGAUUACCACUACGUCUCCCACCUGGAUCGGCGGCACCGGGUGGAACCAUUUCGUCCUGCGGGGCACCCCAUAACGACCGUAUUGAAGUCGGCGAAUCAUCGAAAAAAGCGGCUGCUUUACUCCCAUCGGCACUACCGAGCAAUAAGUGGUUCGGCGUUAUCGGACAGUCCAGCUCAUCGUCGAUCGGCGUCUUUGAGCUCUCUCGCCGCCCCGACGAAGUUGGUACCCCGAUCGCUUAUUAUCUCCCUCGGCGAGCCUCUUCUUGCGAUGAACCGGCGGAUAGCUAAAAUACAGGAAGCAGUUGUUAGUGCAUGAGCUACUUCGAG